Molecule: ribosomal RNA, 493 nt
Filed under: uncultured Neisseria sp.
Lineage: Bacteria; Pseudomonadati; Pseudomonadota; Betaproteobacteria; Neisseriales; Neisseriaceae
Description: bacterial SSU rRNA
Rfam family: Bacterial small subunit ribosomal RNA
Source: RNAcentral
GAUUGAACGGCUGGCGGCAUGCUUUACACAUGCAAGUCGGACGGCAGCACAGAGAAGCUUGCUUCUUGGGUGGCGAGUGGCGAACGGGUGAGUAACGAUAUCGGAACGUACCGGGCAGUGGGGGAUAACUAAUCGAAAGAUUAGCUAAUACCGCAUAUUUUCUGAGGAAGAAAGCAGGGGACCAUUUGGCCUCGCGCUGUUUGAGCGGCCGAUAUCUGAUUAGCUAGUUGGUGGGGUAAAGGCCUACCAAGGCGACGAUCAGUAGCGGGUCUGAGAGGAUGAUCCGCCACACUGGGACUGAGACACGGCCCAGACUCCUACGGGAGGCAGCAGUGGGGAAUUUUGGACAAUGGGCGCAAGCCUGAUCCAGCCAUGCCGCGUGUCUGAAGAAGGCCUUCGGGUUGUAAAGGACUUUUGUCAGGGAAGAAAAGGGCGGGGUUAAUACCCCUGUCUGAUGACGGUACCUGAAGAAUAAGCACCGGCUAACUGCGUG